GGCUCGGCGGCGGACUCCUGCUUCCUGCUCCAUCCCCGGCUGGGCCUGGGGCGGUGAGUGAUCCAGGGAGGGAGUCUGAGGCUACACCUCACCAGCUGCUGAGGGGCGUGGAGGGGGGCUCGCCUGCCUACCCGACGUUGUCCACGCCAGGUCCAGGCUCUCGCCCUGUAGGAGCCCCGGGUCUUGCUGAGCUGUGGGGAGAUGCAGUUUCUAUACCACCCUCGGUAUAGAGUGCAUCAUCUUAGUCAAUUUUCUUGCUCCUUAGUGGUGGUCCCCGGGUUUCAGCUUAUCUCUGUGACCCUAUGACCGCUGCACCCUGAUUAAGGCCUGGAGCACCGCGAGGAAGAACUGGUGUCAGCCCCACCGGUGCGGUCAUGUUCCUAUUAAUAAACCCAGGAGGAAACUCGCACAUCUCACAAUGGCAUUUAGUCAUAGCACCUUAGCAUUCCAAGGCCUUUGGGGUCACUUGUACAGGAGAAAGGAGACUGGGUGGGAAACAGUUUUUUUUUUUUUUUUUAUAUAAAAACAUAGCUAAGAAUGAUCUCUCCUUCAAUCACACUAUCUACUGCAAGUGAGCUCUGCAGUUAUGUGUUUUGUAAUGAAUGUAGAAAUAAAAUCUGUAGUCAAAACUUAUAAAUUUUACUUCCUAAUGACAUUAUUUCUGAUAUGGUUUUAAGUUAGAGAGAUGAAGUGUACUCCUACAAUGUUUAGAUCCUUAAAAAUAUAAAUGAGCAAUAGCAGUGUCUGUAAAUACCUAAAUAUUUCUAUUAAAACGGUGUAUAUUCAAAUAGUAAGCAGGUACUUUGCUUAAUGGAACAAAAGAUGUUAAAGAGCCUGACACAGUGGCUCAUGCCUGUAUUCCCAGCCACUUCGGAGACUAAGGCAAGAGGAGUGCAAGUUUAAGGCCAGCCACAGAAUCUUUGGGAGACCCUAUCUCAAAAUAAAAGAUAAAGGACUGGGGCUGGGGUUGUGGUUCAGUGGUAGCAAGCUUGCCUGGCACGCAUAAGGCACUGGGUUCAAUUCUCAGCACCACAUAUAAAUAAAAUAAAGGUCCAUCAACAACUUUAAAAUAUUUUUGUAAAUUUAUUUUUUAGUUUUAGGUGGACACAACAUCUUUAUUUUAUUUUUAUGUGGUGCUGAGAAUCGAACCCAGUGCCUCACCCAUGCUAGGCGAGCAUGAUACCACUUGAGCCACAUCCUCAGCCCACAACUUUAAAAUAUUAAAAAAAUAAAAAUAAAAAAAUAAAGGACUGGGGGAGUAGCUUAGGUACAGUGCCCCAAGAUUCAAUCCCUGGGACCAAAAAACAAAAGCAAAACAAAAAGAUGUGAAAGACUAAUACCUCCUCACUCCAGUCUGGUUUUUCUUCCACUGAAAUGCAGAAUUCUUUGUAGGGGAUGGUCCACCAGCUGGCUGACUUGGGGUUUCUAUUGAAAACUCUUUAAGCGGUAGGGGGAACUCCUACUGCCUUACACUAUGUUAAUUACUGAAGGAUUUACAGAUUUAUCCAGUAAUAACUCCUACCAUUCUCCCUCAAAAUAAUCUUUUCAUGAUACUGCUGUCAAUGUUAUGACAGUUUUCAGCAUUAAGGGAUGUGUUUUGUGCUUCUCCCCAUUGAGUUUUACUUAUUUUACAACUUAUCCAUUUUUUUUUAGCCCAUGUAUUUUUACAUCUCAUUUUUGAAGCCAUUAAACCUUGAAAUAGAAAGGUUCCCAGCAAAAUUCCCCUUGGGAUUCUGCAUAGUCUUUUCCUUGAGGUUGAUCCCAAAUCUAUAAGCCAAGAAGAGUCUGCUGUUCUCAAACUAAAAUAAGAAAAGUCCACAAUUUUCUAAUUUGCUGAGUAAAAUGUAGUUGGA
RNAcentral lists this long non-coding RNA (1853 nucleotides) under Marmota monax (woodchuck). Lineage: Eukaryota; Metazoa; Chordata; Mammalia; Rodentia; Sciuridae. The record is from RNAcentral.